UACAGAGGUCCCAAGCGUUGUUCGGAUUCAUUGGGCGUAAAGGGUGCGUAGGUGGUGCCGUAAGUUGGGUGUGAAAUCUCGGGGCUUAACCCCGAAACUGCAUUCAAUACUGCGGUGCUUGAGUACUGGAGAGGAGAUUGGAAUUCACGGUGUAGCAGUGAAAUGCGUAGAUAUCGUGAGGAAGACCAGUGGCGAAGGCGGAUCUCUGGACAGUUACUGACACUGAGGCACGAAGGCCAGGGGAGCAAACGGG
This 253-nucleotide ribosomal RNA is filed under the name uncultured bacterium. RNAcentral describes it as "partial 16S ribosomal RNA". It matches the Rfam family "Bacterial small subunit ribosomal RNA", at positions 524 to 776 of the family's 1533-position model. The record is from RNAcentral.